This is a long non-coding RNA of Pseudoliparis swirei, 1437 nucleotides long. RefSeq lists it as uncharacterized. NCBI's taxonomy places the organism in Eukaryota, Metazoa, Chordata, Actinopteri, Perciformes, Liparidae. The record is from RefSeq and is a predicted model, not a curated record. The transcript has 2 exons.
UUGGGGGGGGGCGCAGUUGGGCGACGCGGUUUAAAUAGCACUCAACAAUGAGAAGAAAAGAGGUUUUGAGUAGAAUAUUGUAAAAACCAAAGCUUUAUUUCAAGAACACAGCGUGCUCAACACUGUCCAAUAACAACUAUCAACACACUGUAACUUUGGGCAUGAGAGGUUCAGAGCAGAAUUCUUUAAGAAACAUUGGGUUGGGUUUUAGAGGUUUGCAAAAUAAAAGAGUUUCACCCUCACAUGGAAGAGGUUCAGAGCAGAUGUUACAGAUGUGGAACGGGCAUGGAAGAAGUCGGCUCAGAUGGUGGAUUUUCCCAGCACUUAUUUAUUCUGCAGAAGACAACAGAACACACACAUUUGCCUUCUGAUCUGUCUCUGCACUUCCACUUCCCUCAGCAAAAUAAAACCAUUGUCCAUGGAAGACAGGACCACAUUAAAUCUAAAUAAUAACAAUUCUCAUCAAAAACCAUGGCUGUGUCUACUACCGCGCACUUGAGCACUUCGAGCACUGACUUUCAGUGUUCGAAGUGCGCCACUGAAAAAUCCAGCAGAAUUCAGUGCACUGAAAGUACCCGGAUGGUGCACUGCAAACGGGCAAAAAAUGUAGUGUAAAACGAUGGACACUACUCGCACUAAGCGGCCGCCAUCUUGGCGACGUAGCGGAAGAGGAGGAGCCCUUUCGCCAGCUUUUCAUUUUAUUUCUAAAACAAUGGCGGACAGCACAAGCGGUAGACCACGAAGCUACAGACCGUAAAUAGACUUUCCUGGAGGUGCUGGUGCUGGUCCUCUGCUGCCCUCCCGACAUCUGCAUCUGGCUCCAAUGACCUCUGGCACCUCACAUCCACCUCCAGGGCCUUUAAGAAGAUGGACCGCCAUCGCAUCUUCAGUAUCCCGAAGGACCUCUCCACAACACACCUCGCCUUUGACAGGCAGCAGUUGUAGCUUGGAGGUGGUUGCGGACAGGCUGCCUGAAGGGGGUCAUGAGGCAGAUGGGUUGGGACAGGCAGGGGGAGCCACCAUCCCCAAGGAUACAGUAUCCUGGUGGAGGGGAUGACUGCUCAUAGAAGAUGGGGCUGUUAUUCAGGACCCUGGCAUCAUGCACUGAGCCCGGGGCCUGUCGAAGGCCCUGGCCACCACCCGAUAGGAGGUGGCGCUGGCAAGCCAAAAAAUAAAAACUAGACAGGAGAUCUCGGGCCCCAACCGUGGUCAGUCAGUGCCCAGCACAGCCAUGAGGGCGUUGAAUGACUCGGGUGAGCCUGAAGUCCACCCUCAUGUCACUGUGGCCAUCACAAUACAACGCCAGCAGUGGCAUUGCAACAUUGAUACGGCAGCACCGCCUGGGACUGGGUGGCUGCUGUAGAGUGUGGGGAGUGGAGGGGAAGGGAAGAUUAUAUUAAUAUGUAAGUCAUUUUAUCAAUAAAAUGUUGUCAUUGA